GUGCCAGCAGCCGCGGUAAUACGGAGGAUCCGAGCGUUAUCCGGAUUUAUUGGGUUUAAAGGGAGCGUAGGCGGAUGUUUAAGUCAGUUGUGAACGUUCACGGCGUUAUCUUGAAAUUGCAGUUGAUACUGGACGUCUUGAGUGCAUUAAAUGUGGGCGGAAUUCGUGGUGUAGCGGUGAAAUGCUUAGAUAUCACGAAGAACUCCAAUAGCGAAGGCAGCUCACAGGACUGUAACUGACACUGAUGCUCGAAAGUG
RNAcentral lists this ribosomal RNA (257 nucleotides) under uncultured bacterium. RNAcentral's name for it is "partial 16S rRNA". It matches the Rfam family "Bacterial small subunit ribosomal RNA", at positions 505 to 761 of the family's 1533-position model. The record is from RNAcentral.